UACGGAGGGUGCAAGCGUUACUCGGAAUCACUGGGCGUAAAGAGCGCGUAGGCGGGAUAAUAAGUCAGAUGUGAAAUCCUGUAGCUUAACUACAGAACUGCAUUUGAAACUGUUAUUCUAGAGUAUGGGAGAGGUAGGUGGAAUUCUUGGUGUAGGGGUAAAAUCCGUAGAGAUCAAGAGGAAUACUCAUUGCGAAGGCGACCUACUGGAACAUUACUGACGCUGAUGCGCGAAAGCGUGGGGAGCAAACAGG
RNAcentral lists this ribosomal RNA (253 nucleotides) under uncultured bacterium. RNAcentral describes it as "partial 16S ribosomal RNA". It matches the Rfam family "Bacterial small subunit ribosomal RNA", at positions 524 to 776 of the family's 1533-position model. The record is from RNAcentral.